CAAUAUACAAAUUUCUUAAACAUAUAUCAGAGUAAAAACCAUAAACGGGAUAUCACAUAGAAACGUAAUCCAAAAACAGUUAAAUAAUGAUUUAACUUUCACAUAAUAUCUUAACAUAGCAGCGGAAUAUUAGUUCGGAAAUCAUAAAUCAGUUUGGCACGUAGGCCCCAUCAAAACAGUUCAUAUCGUAAUCCAUAACAUUAUAAAAAUAACAUAUUAGUCACGUAAGAGAAUG
Molecule: long non-coding RNA, 235 nt
Filed under: Medicago truncatula (barrel medic)
Lineage: Eukaryota; Viridiplantae; Streptophyta; Magnoliopsida; Fabales; Fabaceae
Description: long non-coding RNA (MTRU_LNC007331)
Source: RNAcentral